This 497-nucleotide ribosomal RNA is filed under the name uncultured bacterium. RNAcentral's name for it is "partial 16S ribosomal RNA". It matches the Rfam family "Bacterial small subunit ribosomal RNA", at positions 28 to 507 of the family's 1533-position model. The record is from RNAcentral.
GAUGAACGCUGGCGGCGUGCCUAAUACAUGCAAGUCGAGCGAACAGACGAGGAGCUUGCUCCUCUGACGUUAGCGGCGGACGGGUGAGUAACACGUGGAUAACCUACCUAUAAGACUGGGAUAACUUCGGGAAACCGGAGCUAAUACCGGAUAAUAUAUUGAACCGCAUGGUUCAAUAGUGAAAGAAGGUUUUGCUGUCACUUAUAGAUGGAUCCGCGCCGCAUUAGCUAGUUGGUAAGGUAACGGCUUACCAAGGCAACGAUGCGUAGCCGACCUGAGAGGGUGAUCGGCCACACUGGAACUGAGACACGGUCCAGACUCCUACGGGAGGCAGCAGUAGGGAAUCUUCCGCAAUGGGCGAAAGCUUGCCGGAGCAACGCCGCGUGAGUGAUGAAGGUCUUCGGAUCGUAAAACUCUGUUAUUAGGGAAGAACAAAUGUGUAAGUAACUAUGCACGUCUUGACGGUACCUAAUCAGAAAGCCACGGCUAACUACGUG